GAUGAACGCUGGCGGCGUGCCUAAUACAUGCAAGUCGAGCGAACAGACGAGGAGCUUGCUCCUCUGACGUUAGCGGCGGACGGGUGAGUAACACGUGGAAACCUACCUAUAAGACUGGGAUAACUUCGGGAAACCGGAGCUAAUACCGGAUAAUAUAUUGAACCGCAUGGUUCAAUAGUGAAAGACGGUUUUGCUGUCACUUAUAGAUGGAUCCGCGCCGCAUUAGCUAGUUGGUAAGGUAACGGCUUACCAAGGCGACGAUGCGUAGCCGACCUGAGAGGGUGAUCGGCCACACUGGAACUGAGACACGGUCCAGACUCCUACGGGAGGCAGCAGUAGGGAAUCUUCCGCAAUGGGCGAAAGCCUGACGGAGCAACGCCGCGUGAGUGAUGAAGGUCUUCGGAUCGUAAAACUCUGUUAUUAGGGAAGAACAAAUGUGUAAGUAACUAUGCACGUCUUGACGGUACCUAAUCAGAAAGCCACGGCUAACUACGUG
Molecule: ribosomal RNA, 496 nt
Filed under: uncultured bacterium
Lineage: Bacteria
Description: partial 16S ribosomal RNA
Rfam family: Bacterial small subunit ribosomal RNA
Source: RNAcentral